GUUGGUGCAAAAGUAAUUGCGGUUUUUGCCAUUGAAAGUAAUAGCAAAAACUGCAAUUACUUUUGUACCAAC
This 72-nucleotide microRNA precursor is filed under the name Rhinopithecus bieti (black snub-nosed monkey). RNAcentral's name for it is "miRNA (ENSRBIG00000000774.1)". The record is from RNAcentral. Lineage: Eukaryota; Metazoa; Chordata; Mammalia; Primates; Cercopithecidae.